RNAcentral lists this ribosomal RNA (538 nucleotides) under uncultured bacterium. Its description in RNAcentral is "bacterial SSU rRNA". It matches the Rfam family "Bacterial small subunit ribosomal RNA", at positions 778 to 1329 of the family's 1533-position model. The record is from RNAcentral.
AUAGAUACCCAGGUAGUCCACGCCGUAAACGAUGGAUGCUAGCUGUUAUGAGUAUCGACCCUUGUAGUAGCGAAGCUAACGCGUUAAGCAUCCCGCCUGUGGAGUACGAGCGCAAGCUUAAAACAUAAAGGAAUUGACGGGGACCCGCACAAGCGGUGGAGCGUGUUGUUUAAUUCGAUGAUAAGCGAAGAACCUUACCAAGGCUUGACAUCCCUGGAAUUUCUCCGAAAGGAGAGAGUGCCUUCGGGAAUCAGGUGACAGGUGAUGCAUGGCCGUCGUCAGCUCGUGUCGUGAGAUGUUUGGUUAAGUCCAUCAACGAGCGCAACCCUUGUAAAUAGUUGAAUUUUUCUAUUUAGACUGCCUCGGUAACGGGGAGGAAGGAGGGGAUGAUGUCAGGUCAGUAUUUCCCUUACGCCUUGGGCUACAAACACGCUACAAUGGCCGGUACAAAGGGCAGCCAACCCGCGAGGGGGAGCAAAUCCCAUCAAAGCCGGUCUCAGUUCGGAUAGCAGGCUGAAAUUCGCCUGCUUGAAGCCGG